Small nuclear RNA from Mesocricetus auratus (golden hamster), 102 nucleotides. The record is from Ensembl. Lineage: Eukaryota; Metazoa; Chordata; Mammalia; Rodentia; Cricetidae.
GUUUGCUUUGGCAACACAUACACUAAAACUGGAACGAUCCAGAGAUUAGCACAGCUCUAGUGUAAGGACAGCAUACACACUCAAGAAGCAUUCCAUAAUUUC